RNAcentral lists this ribosomal RNA (305 nucleotides) under uncultured bacterium. RNAcentral describes it as "partial 16S ribosomal RNA". It matches the Rfam family "Bacterial small subunit ribosomal RNA", at positions 506 to 807 of the family's 1533-position model. The record is from RNAcentral.
ACAGCAGUAGCCGCGGGAAUACGUAGGGUGCAAGCGUUAAUCGGAAUUACUGGGCAUAAAGCGUGCGCAGGCGGUUCGCUAAGACAGAUGUGAAAUCCCCGGGCUUAACCUGGGAACUGCAUUUGUGACUGGCGGGCUAGAGUAUGGCAGAGGGGGGUAGAAUUCCACGUGUAGCAGUGAAGUGCGUAGAGAUGUGGAGGAAUACCGAUGGCGAAGGCAGCCCCCUGGGCCAAUACUGACGCUCAUGCACGAAAGCGUGGGGAGCAAACAGGAUUAGAGACCCGCGUAGUCCCUGUCUCUUAUAC